GACGAACGCUGGCGGCGUGCUUAACACAUGCAAGUCGAACGGAAAGGCCCUGCUUUUGUGGGGUGCUCGAGUGGCGAACGGGUGAGUAACACGUGAGUAACCUGCCCUUGACUUUGGGAUAACUUCAGGAAACUGGGGCUAAUACCGGAUAGGAGCUCCUGCUGCAUGGUGGGGGUUGGAAAGUUUCGGCGGUUGGGGAUGGACUCGCGGCUUAUCAGCUUGUUGGUGGGGUAGUGGCUUACCAAGGCUUUGACGGGUAGCCGGCCUGAGCGGGUGACCGGCCACAUUGGGACUGGGAUACGGCCCAGACUCCUACGGGAGGCAGCAGUGGGGAAUAUUGCACAAGGGGCGGAGGCCUGAUGCAGCAACGCCGCGUGCGGGAUGACGGCCUUCGGGUUGUAAACCGCUUUCGCCUGUGACGAAGCGUGAGUGACGGUAAUGGGUAAAGAAGCACCGGCUAACUACGUG
RNAcentral lists this ribosomal RNA (468 nucleotides) under uncultured bacterium. RNAcentral describes it as "partial 16S ribosomal RNA". It matches the Rfam family "Bacterial small subunit ribosomal RNA", at positions 28 to 507 of the family's 1533-position model. The record is from RNAcentral.